AAGUCGUAACAAGGUUUCCGUAGGUGAACCUGCGGAAGGAUCAUUACCAAAUCCAAAAUACCCAAACCCCAUGUGAACUAUUGUUUGUUGUCCUUGGGGGGGAAUGAAAGAGAAAAUUAAAAUUGGUUUACUAAUUUUUUUUAGUGCCAUUUUAUUUUAUAUCCGGACUUCUCCCCCAAAAGAAUCCGGCACUUCGGUGUUUGUGAUUCUUGAUAAACCACAUCUUUUUUUUAUUGGAAUGACUUUUAUUUUAAUUUAAUAAAAGACAACUUUUAACGGUGGAUCUCUUGGCUCGUG
This 297-nucleotide unclassified non-coding RNA is filed under the name fungal sp. RNAcentral describes it as "partial internal transcribed spacer region". The stretch from base 1 to 46 matches the Rfam family "Eukaryotic small subunit ribosomal RNA", at positions 1786 to 1831 of the family's 1831-position model. Lineage: Eukaryota; Fungi. The record is from RNAcentral.